Molecule: ribosomal RNA, 173 nt
Filed under: Nemania maritima
Lineage: Eukaryota; Fungi; Ascomycota; Sordariomycetes; Xylariales; Xylariaceae
Description: 5.8S ribosomal RNA
Rfam family: 5.8S ribosomal RNA (bases 7-160)
About the family: 5.8S ribosomal RNA (5.8S rRNA) is a component of the large subunit of the eukaryotic ribosome.
Source: RNAcentral
UGUUAAAACUUUCAACAACGGAUCUCUUGGUUCUGGCAUCGAUGAAGAACGCAGCGAAAUGCGAUACGUAAUGUGAAUUGCAGAAUUCAGUGAAUCAUCGAAUCUUUGAACGCACAUUGCGCCCGCUGGUAUUCCAGCGGGCAUGCCUGUUCGAGCGUCAUUUCAACCCUUAA